This 32823-nucleotide long non-coding RNA is filed under the name Triticum aestivum (bread wheat). Its description in RNAcentral is "long non-coding RNA (TAES_LNC017398)". The stretch from base 25603 to 25689 matches the Rfam family "MIR1120/MIR1122 microRNA precursor family". Lineage: Eukaryota; Viridiplantae; Streptophyta; Magnoliopsida; Poales; Poaceae. The record is from RNAcentral.
CCGUGUCGCUUGUCGUAAGAGAGCUCGACAUGCGGAAAAGAGAGAGAAGAGCUACGGCCUAUGGGCAUCGCGCUCCCAGCGGUGGGCCCAACACAGGUCGCCGGUCGCGUCGUGAGACCACCGUGCGCAAGCUGCAUCCACGGCUGUGGGAGUUAAUUGCACAAAACCAUCACAUUAACACUUAAGAUUACAGAAAACAUCGGUUAAGGAUUUUUUUUUUUGUCAGAAACCACUGAUUCUCGGCCUUAUCUUUUGUAACAAACCUUUAAAUUUUAAGUAAUAAAGCGCUUCUUUUUGAAAAAAAAACUUUUGUAAAAAGCAUUGAUCGGUCUCUUUGGGCAUUUUAACCUUAAUUAUGACAGGUGGGUCCCACUUUUGUCGAGGUGGCGUAACGGCUUGUGUUAGAAAACGUUUGUUCUAAUAUUACAAACUAGUCCCUUGAAUUUUACAUACCAUUUUUUCAAUAAAAAAGCAAUCUGCUCCAUGUUUGUUUGGUCAACCCGCACCAAACCACACACAAGCACACAGGUAGCGCAUGCGGCAGCUAGGGUUCUUGUCGUCGCCCCCCAAGACCACCAACCGCGGCCAGCCUCCACCGCGUACCGAUGCCAGCAUCUCAACCAGUCUCCUUCUCCAACUCCGCGGUUCACUAUCAGGACGGCCGAAGGGAACAAGUGCAGCGGCUCGUAGAUGGCCGGCUUGCCGAUGCCCAGCAGCAGGUCCUUGCCCGGGUGCAUCAUAGCCAGCCUACCGGCGGCCGGCUCCCAGUUCCGAGUUGGGCAAGGCUACGGCUUGGCACUAGUGCAAAAACGGCUAGCCACAACAUUAGUUGAUGGCGCGCCAGUUUCUAUCAACGCCAGCACUAUUUUUUCCAAAUAGUGCUGGUGUCAGCCAAUUUCGUACCCCAUAGAUAUUAUGUUAUUGCUGGCAUCGAAAUCUUAGAGAAUGCCACCUGUAUGUGGGUCCUAACGUUCUGACCUGGCCUAACUUAGUGCUGGCCUAGCCAAAGUACCCUACACCAGCACUAACCGUAAUAGCUAUGGCGUCGCUGAGGAAGUUACGGCAACCGUAUAUUUUGCGGGUCCACUUUGAUUAAUCCAUUUUUGAGCCAGCAUAACACCGAUGUGAGCAGUAUCCGAACGCCAGGGACAUAGAAUUGUAAUGGCGUUCCCUGUUUUUCGUACGCCGGUAAUUACGUCGCAGAACUAUUCACAUGUGACCUUGCAUCCAUUUAGAUGUUUUCCUUCUUCUUCCUCCCUCUUUCCUCUUCCUCCUCUUUCUCUUCUCUUGUUCUUGAGAAAAACAUCAAAUUUUUUCUCAUAAUUUCUUAAGUAGGUAGUUAGAUCUAGUUAGAUGAUGCAUUAAUUAAGCUUGCUAGCCUUCACUCUCUCACUCACUAAGCUAGUUCUCUUCUUCACCCAGUCAAACACGUACACACACUUGCAUUAAAAUUUCCACCACACUCCAUUAAUGGCGCAUCCAACUUAGGUACGGUUGGUCGACCCCCUCUCUCUCGCACCUUGGAUGAGGUAAAAUAGAUUGAACUUCUCGUUAAUUUAUGUGCAUAUAUAUGAUGCAUGCGCAUAUGGAUGGAUUUGUGUGUGUGUGUGUGUGUGUGUGUGUGUGUGUGUGUGUGUGUCAUUAGUUGUCUCGUGCAAUGUUUCAUAUUGCAUGCAAUGUCUAGAGAGUUGCUAAUGUCCUGGCGAAACGUUGACUCAUUUCCGUUUCGUAAAAUUUCUGGCACUCAAUAUGUCACUUUUUUAGCAUUGGUCAUGCCGAAUUUUUUUAUGUCGUCAUUGGUACUAUAUUUAAUUUAUUUUUUACUUUUACCUUUGUAACAUGGAUCAAAAUGUGAUGGGCUUUCUUAAUUUCGCGGUGGCAAAUAUGAUACAAAAGGGUGAAGUGCAGAUAUUAUGUCCAUGUUUGAGAUGCGAAAAUGGUGUUUUUCCACAACCCGUUCGAAGGCAGCGUGCUGGCGCACUUGCUCUGUCGAGAUUUUGUUGCAGGUUAUACAUAGUGGACAAUGCAUGGUGAGGAGGAUGUUAGCGAUGAUGAAGGAGGAAACAAUGAUGCGGAAAACUCUGGCGAUGAAGCAGAGCCGCCAAAAGGAGGAAACAAUGAACAUGCGCAUGAAGAAAAUGAUGAAAUGCCACCGGAACAUGAAGAGGAUCAUGAGACUGUCACGCAGGAUAUGUCGUUGGCUACAAUGCUACAAGAUCCUCAUGUCAAAUAUCUGCUUCGGAAGAAGACGACAACCGAGAGAGAUGCUAUUAAAGAGGCUCUAAAGUUGGCGCAAUUGGAAUUAGAUGCAAAAAUUCCACUGUAUGAAGGCUGCGAUCCCGAGCACACCCACGUGCACGUCACGCUCAAACUUCUGGACAUCAAGGCAAGUUUCAAGAGCACAGAUGCAAGUCUGGAUGCUAUGGAAUAUUUACACAAAGUUUUGCCCAAGGGGAAUUUGUUGCCUCGUAGUGUUGAUGAGGCGAAGAAGAUCGUGUGCCCGCUUGAUUUACCGCAUGUAAGAUAUCAUGCAUGCAUAAAUGAUUGCAUCUUAUAUCGGAAUGAGUAUGAGAAUAAAACAGUGUCCAACUUGCAACGAACCCUGAUACAAGCCUGGGAACAAGGAACCUCGAAAGGUUGUAUGGUAUCUUCCAUUGAUUCCUCGCUUGCAGCGUUAUUUCGCUGACCCGAAGAAGCAAAGAAUAUGACUUGGUACAAGACUAGAACAUCAAAAGGUGAUGGCAUUCUGAGACAUAUUGCAGAUGGUUGUCAGUGGAAAGCACUGGAUAGUUUAGAACCAAAAUUCGCAACAGAACCAAGAAACCCCAGGUUGGAUGUCAGUAGUGAUGAACUAAAUCCAUUUGGCAACCAGAGGAGCACACAUAGUACAUAGAUCGCAUUUGUAUGAAUGUAUAACCUCCCUCCCUGGCUCUGCAUAAAACAAAAGUACAUACACAUGAUUAUGCUAAUCAAGGGCCAGUCCAGCCUGACAAUGAUAUCAACACAUAUGUAGAGUUGUUGAAGGAGGAGUUAGAAAUAUUAUGAAGGCCUGAAGGGGUCAAAACAAUGUGUAUUCAUGCAAAUAUCUUAUCAAAAUCAAUGUGGGACAAAAACGUGUUUAUAUAAAUUGAUAAUAUAUUCCGAUUUUCUGUUGCUGUGGCAGCAAUUUUUUACUGCUUUUCAAAACACUAGUAAUGGCGUUCGGACAAUGCGCAACGCCAGUGAAGAUUUAUCUUAGUACUGUCGUAACACCAUGUCACAACCCCAUAGCUAUAUGUGAUAUUGGCGUCGUGUAGCUAAAUCCAAUGUCAUAGGUAUCUAAAAUAGUGUUGGUGUAGGCUCCAACGCCACCACUAUAUUUUAACAAUGACGCCACAAUAGUGACGUCGUUCGUCCACGCCAGCAAAGCCCUUUGGCACGGCAUAGCUAUGAUUUUCUGCACUAGUGUGGGCACCACCUCCCAGUUUCGGAGGUGGGCGACAACCUCGAUGCUGAGGGAGCCCAAGCUUGGGGAUGGCCUGUUGCGGGUAGGGUGGGCGGUCGGCAAGGGCCUGGUUGCCUUUUCCUAUUCUAAUUGAAGGGUGCCUAUGCAAAAAUACCAGGGACUAUUUGGUAAUUUCAUAUCACACUUUGUCUAGUGCCUUCUGGGACCAACAGUUAGGCCACGUCAGCUUUUGCGGGACCCACCUAUCAUAAUCAAGGUCAAAAUGCCCAAAGAGACCGAUCAGUGUCUUUUCGGCAAAAGAUUAGGCCAAGAAUCAAUGCUUUCCAGCAAAAAUCCGUAAACCAAUGUCAUCUGCAAAUGUAGGCGUCAAUGUGUGGUUUUCUGCAAUUAACUCCGGCUACAGAGACCAUGGAUGCCGAGGACAGUGAAGGCGCCUCCAUGGAGGUCGAUCAAGAAAUGACUGACCAGCCGCUCUAGACGCACCAAUGGUUUUUGCUUGCGCCGCUGCACUUUAUUGCCUUGCUCCACCUGCAAAAAAAGUCAGAUCGGUGGCAGGACAAGGGCAAAAUGAAGAAAACUGACCUCGAGGCGUAACUAUUUCACAAACUAAACUAUAGAUGAAACAAAUGCACCUGACUAACCAUUUUGUGUAGCGUUCGACUGGUCGGCACUGCACUACACUGAGUAGCGUCUGACUGACAGGCGACACACUCAUCGCCAUCGUGGCAACCUGGGGCCAUACAGGGCCCCACCCCUGGUUUGGUCUGCAGCGAUGUACAACCAGGAGGACAAGAGGUGAAAGAACCUGCAGCGCUGCACAACCAAAUGUUGGGAAUCGUAGCAUAAUUUAAAAUUUUCCUACGCUCACCAAGAUGCAUCUAUGGAGUAUACUAGCAACGAGGGGAAGGGAGUGCAUCUACAUACCCUUGUAGAUCGCGAGCGGAAGCGUUCCAAUGAACGUGGAUGACGGAGUCGUACUCGCCGUGAUCCAAAUCACCGAUGACCGAGUGCCGAACGGACGGCACCUCCGCGUUCAACACACGUACGGUGCAGCGACGUCUCCUCCUUCUUGAUCCAGCAAGGGGGGAGGAGAGGUUGAUGGAGAUCCAACAGCACGACGGCGUGGUGGUGGAUGUAGCGGGUCUCGGCAGGGCUUUGCCAAGCUUCUGCGAGAGAGAGAGAGAGAGAGGUGUUGCAGGGGAGGAGGGAGGCGCCCAAGGCUGUGCUUUGCUGCCCUCCCUCCCCCCCCACUAUUUAUAGGACCCCUGGGGGGGCACCAGCCCUUGGGAGAACAGAUCUCCAAGGGGGGCGGCAGCCAAGUGGGGGGAAGGGGUGCCUUGCCCCCCAAGGCAAGGGGGAAGCUCCCCCCCCUAGGGUUCCCAACCCUAGGCGCAUGGGGGGAGGCCCAAGGGGGGCGCCCCAGCCCACUAAGGGCUGGUUCCCUUCCACUUUCAGCCCACGGGGCCCUCCGGGAUAGGUGGCCCCACCCGGUGGACCCCCGGGAUCCUUCCGGUGGUCCCGGUACAAUACCGGUAACCCCCGAAACUUUCCCGGUGGCCGAAACUUGACUUCCUAUAUAUAAUUCUUCACCUCCGGACCAUUCCGGAGCCUAUCGUGACGUCCGGGAUCUCAUCCGGGACUCCGAACAACUUUCGGGUUUCCGCAUACAUAUAUCUCUACAACCCUAGCGUCACCGAACCUUAAGUGUGUAGACCCUACGGGUUCGGGAGACAUGCAGACAUGACCGAGACGCCUCUCCGGUCAAUAACCAACAGCGGGAUCUGGAUACCCAUGUUGGCUCCCACAUGUUCCACGAUGAUCUCAUCGGAUGAACCACGGUGUCGAGGAUUCAAAUCGGUAUGUUACUUGCCCGAGAUUCGAUCGUCGGUAUCCCAAUACCUUGUUCAAUCUCGUUACCGGCAAGUCUCUUUACUCGUACCGCAAUGCAUGAUCCCGUGACUAACGCCUUAGUCACAUUGAGCUCAUUAUGAUGAUGCAUUACCGAGUGGGCCCAGAGAUACCUCUCCGUCACACGGAGUGACAAAUCCCAGUCUCGAUCCGUGCCAACCCAACAGACACUUUCGGAGAUACCCGUAGUGCACCUUUAUAGUCACCCAGUUACGUUGUGACGUUUGACACACCCAAAGCACUCCUACGGUAUCCGGGAGUUGCACGAUCUCAUGGUCUAAGGAAAAGAUACUUAACAUUGGAAAAGCUCUAGCAAACGAAACUACACGAUCUUUUAUGCUAUGCUUAGGAUUGGGUCUUGUCCAUCACAUCAUUCUCCUAAUGAUGUGAUCCCGUUAUCAAUGACAUCCAAUGUCCAUAGUCAAGAAACCAUGACUAUCUGUUGAUCAACGAGCUAGUCAACUAGAGGCUUACUAGGGACACGUUGUGGUCUAUGUAUUCACACAUGUAUUACGAUUUCCGGACAAUACAAUUAUAGCAUGAAUAAUAGACAAUUACCAUGAACAAAGAAAUAUAAUAAUAACCAUUUAUUAUUGCCUCUAGGGCAUAUUUCCAACAGUCUCCCACUUGCACUAGAGUCAAUAAUCUAGUUACAUUGUGAUGAAUCGAACACCCAUUGCGUCCUGGUGUUGAUCAUGUUUUGCCCUAGGGAGAGGUUUAGUCAACGGAUCUGCUACAUUCAGGUCCGUAUGUACUUUACAAAUAUCUAUGUCUCCAUUUUGAACACUUUCACGAAUGGAGUUGAAGCGACGCUUGAUAUGCCUGGUCUUCCUGUGAAACAUGGGCUCCUUCGCAAGGGCAAUAGCUCCAGUGUUGUCACAGAAGAGAGUCAUCGGGCCCGACGCAUUGGGAAUCACCCCUAGGUUGGUAAUGAACUCCUUCAUCCAGACUGCUUCCUGUGCUGCCUCCGAGGCUGCCAUGUACUCCGCUUCACAUGUAGAUCCCGCCACGAUGCUUUGCUUGCAACUGCACCAGCUUACUGCUCCUCCAUUCAAAAUAUACACGUAUCCGGUUUGUGACUUCGAGUCAUCCAGAUCUGUGUCGAAGCUAGCGCCGACGUAACCCUUUACGACGAGCUCUUCGUCACCUCAUAAACGAGAAACAUAUCCUUAGUCCUCUUCAGGUACUUCAGGAUAUUCUUGACCAUUGUCCAGUGUUCCAUGCCGGGAUUACUUUGGUACCUUCCUACCAAACUUACGGCAAGGUUUACAUCAGGUCUGGUACACAGCAUGGCAUACAUAAUAGACCCUAUGGCCGAGGCAUAGGGGAUGACACUCAUCUUUUCUAUAUCUUCUGCCGUGGUCGGGCAUUGAGAAUUGCUCAAUUGCACACCUUGCAAUACAGGCAAGAACCCCUUCUUGGACUAAUCCAUACUGAACUUUUUCAAUAUCUUGUCAAGGUAUGUACUCUGUGAAAGACCAAUGAGGCGUCUUGAUCUAUCUCUAUAGAUCUUGAUGCCUAAUAUAUAAGCAGCUUCUUCAAGGUCCUUCAUUGAAAAACACUUACUCAAAUAGGCCUUUAUACUUUCCAAGAAUUCUAUAUCAUCUCCCAUCAACAGUAUGUCAUCCACAUAUAAUAUGAGAAAUGCUACAGAGCUCCCACUCACUUUCUUGUAAACACAGGCUUCUCCAUAAGUCUGUGUGAACCCAAACGCUUUGAUCAUCUCAUCAAAGCGAAUGUUCCAACUCCGAGAUGCUUGCACCAGCCCAUAGAUUGAGCGCUGGAGCUUGCAUACUUUGUUAGCAUUCUUAGGAUCGACAAAACCUUCCGGCUGCAUCAUAUACAACUCUUCCUUAAGGAAGCCAUUAAGGAAUGCCGUUUUGACGUCCAUCUGCCAUAUCUCAUAAUCAUAGUAUGCGGCAAUUGCUAACAUGAUUCGGACGGACUUCAGCUUCGCUACGGGUGAGAAAGUCUCAUCGUAGUCAACCCCUUGAACUUGUCGAUAACCCUUAGCGACAAGUCGAGCUUUGUAGAUGGUCACAUUACCAUCUGCGUCCGUCUUCUUCUUAAAGAUCCAUUUGUUUUCUAUGGCUCGCCGCUCAUCGGGCAAGUCAGUCAAAGUCCAUACUUUGUUUUCAUACAUGGAUUCUAUCUCGGAUUUCAUGGCUUCUAGCCAUUUGUCGGAAUCCGGGCCCGCCAUCGCUUCUUCAUAGUUCGAAGGUUCACCGUUGUCUAACAACAUGAUUUCCAGGACAGGGUUGCCGUACCACUCUGGUGUGGAACGUGUCCUUGUGGACCUACGAAGUUCAGUAACUUGAUCCGAAGCUUCAUGAUCAUCAUCAUUAACUUCCUCCCCAGUCGGUGUAGGAACCACAGGAACAUUUUCCCGCGCUGCGCUACUUUCCGGUUCGGAAGGGGUGACUAUCACCUCAUCAAGUUCCACUUUCCUCCCACUCAAUUCUUUCGAGAGAAACUCCUUCUCUAGAAAGGACCCGUUCUUGGCAACGAAGAUCUUGCCCUCGGAUCUGAGGUAGAAGGUAUACCCAAUAGUUUCCUUAGGGUAUCCUAUGAAGACGCAUUUUUCCGACUUGGGUUCGAGCUUUUCAGGUUGAAGUUUCUUGACAUAAGCAUCGCAUCCCCAAACUUUUAGAAACGACAGCUUAGGUUUCUUCCCAAACCAUAAUUCAUACGGUGUCGUCUCAACGGAUUUCGACGGAGCCCUAUUUAAAGUGAAUGCGGCAGUCUCUAAAGCAUAGCCCCAAAAUGAGAGCGGUAAAUCGGUAAGAGACAUCAUAGAUCGCACCAUAUCCAAUAGAGUGCAAUUACGACGUUCGGACACACCGUUUCUCUGAGGUGUUCCAGGCGGCGUGAGUUGUGAAACUAUUCCACAUUUCCUUAAGUGUGUACCAAAUUCGUGACUUAAAUAUUCUCCACCACGAUCUGAUCGUAAGAAUUUUAUUUUCCUGUCACGUUGAUUCUCGACUUCACUCUGAAAUUCCUUGAACUUUUCAAAGGUUUCAGACUUGUGUUUCAUUAGGUAGACAUACCCAUAUCUACUUAAAUCAUCAGUGAGAGUGAGAACAUAACGAUAUCCUCCGCGAGCCUCAACACUCAUUGGACCGCACACAUCGGUAUGUAUGAUUUCCAAUAAGUUGGUUGCUCGCUCCAUUGUUCCAGAGAACGGAGUCUUGGUCAUCUUACCCAUGAGGCAUGGUUCGCACGUGUCAAAUGAUUCGUAAUCAAGAGACUCCAAAAGUCCAUCUGCAUGGAGCUUCUUCAUGCGCUUGACACCAAUGUGACCAAGGCGGCAGUGCCACAAGUAUGUGGGACUAUCGUUAUCAACUUUACAUCUUUUGGUAUUCACACUAUGAACAUGUGUAACAUCACGUUCGAGAUUUAUCAAAAAUAAACCAUUGACCAGCGGGGCAUGACCAUAAAACAUAUCUCUCAAAUAAAUAGAACAACCAUUAUUCUCGGAUUUAAAUGAGUAGCCAUCUCGAAUUAAACGAGAUCCAGAUACAAUGUUCAUGCUCAAAGCUAGCACUAAAUAACAAUUAUUGAGGUUUAAAACUAAUCCCGUAGGUAGAUGCAGAGGUAGCGUGCCGACGGCGAUCACAUCGACCUUGGAACCAUUCCCGACGCGCAUCGUCACCUCGUCCUUUGCCAGUCUCCGUUUAUUCCGUAGUUCCUGCUUUGAGUUACAAAUAUGAGCAACCGCACCGGUAUCAAAUACCCAGGAGCUACUACGAGUACUGGUAAGGUACACAUCAGUCUCGGGCUUGGGUCCAUUCUUUGACUUCUUCCCGGUAACUGGUUUACCGGGCGCGGCAACUCCCUUGCCGUCCUUCUUGAAGUUCUUCUUACCCUUGCCCUUCUUGAACUUAGUGGUUUUAUUCACCAUCAACACUUGAUGUUCUUUUCUGAUCUCUACCUCAGCUGAUUUCAGCAUUGAAUAUACCUCAGGAAUGGUCUUUUCCAUCCCCUGCAUAUUGAAGUUCAUCACAAAGCUCUUGUAGCUUGGUGGAAGCGACUGGAGGAUUCUGUCAAUGACCGCGUCAUCCGAGAGAUUGACUCCCAGCUGAGACAAGCGGUUAUGCAACCCAGACAUUCUGAGUAUGUGCUCACUAACAGAACUGUUCUCCUCCAUUUUACAGCUGAAGAACUUGUCGGAGACAUCAUAUCUCUCGACCCGGGCAUGAGCUUGAAAAACCAGUUUCAACUCCUCGAACAUCUCGUAUGCUCCAUGUUUCUCAAAACGCUUUUGGAGACCCGGUUCUAAGCUGUAAAGCAUGCCGCACUGAACGAGGGAGUAAUCAUCAGCACGUGAUUGCCAAGCGUUCAUAACGUCUUGGUUCUCUGGGAUUGGUGCUUCAUCUAGCGGUGCUUCUAAGACAUAAUCUUUCUUGGCUACUAUGAGAAUCAUCCUCAGGUUCCGGACCCAGUCCGUAUAGUUGCUGCCAUCAUCUUUCAGCUUGGUUUUCUCUAGGAACGCGUUGAAAUUGAGGACAACGUUGGCCAUUAGAUCUACAAGACAUAGUGUAAAGAUUUUAGAGUAAGUUCAUGAUAAUUAAGUUCAUCUAAUCAAAUUAUUUAAUGAACUCCCACUCAGAUAGACAUCCCUCUCGUCAUCUAAGUGAAACAUGAUCCGAGUUUAACUAGGCCGUGUCCGAUCAUCACGUGAGACGGACUAGUCAAGAUCGGUGAACAUCUCCAUGUUGAUCGUAUCUUCUAUACGACUCAUGCUCGACCUUUCGGUCCUCCGUGUUCCGAGGCCAUGUCUGUACAUGCUAGGCUCGUCAAGUCAACCUAAGUGUAUUGCGUGUGUUCCGAGGCCAUGUCUGUACAUGCUAGGCUCGUCAACACCCGUUGUAUUCGAACGUUAGAAUCUAUCACACCCGAUCAUCACGUGGUGCUUCGAAACAAUGAACCUUCGCAACGGUGCACAGUUAGGGUGAACACUUUCUUGAAAUUAUUAUAAGGGAUCAUCCUACUUGCUACCGUCGUUCUAAGCAAAUAAGAUGCAAAAACAUGCAAUCAAAUAGUGACAUGAUAUGGCCAAUAUCAUCAUGCUCCUUUGAUCUCCAUCUUCGGGGCACCAUGAUCAUCUUCGUCACCGGCAUGACACCAUGAUCUCCAUCAUCAUGAUCUCCAUCAUUGUGUCUUCAUGAAGUCGUCACGCCAACGAUUACUUCUACUUGUAUGGCUAACACGUUUAGCAACAAAGUAAAGUAAAUUACAUGGCGUUAUUCAAUGACACGCAGGUCAUGCAAAAUAAUAAAGACAACUCCUAUGGCUCCUGCCGGUUGUCAUACUCAUCGACAUGCAAGUCGUGAUUCCUAUUACAAGAAUAUGAUCAAUCUCAUACAUCACAUAUAUCAUUCAUCACAUCUUCUGGCCAUAUCACAUCACAUAGCACUUGCUGCAAAAACAAGUUAGACGUCCUCUAAUUGUUGUUGCAUGUUUUUACGUGGUUUGUAGGUUUCUAGCAAGAACGUUUUCUUACCUACGUAUGACCACAACGUGAUUUGCCAAUUUCUAUUUACCCUUCAUAAGGACCCUUUUCAUCGAAUCCGUUCCGACUAAAGUAGGAGAGACAGACACCCGCUAGCCACCUUAUGCAACUAGUGCAUGUCAAUCGGUGGAACCUGUCUCACGUAAGCGUACGUGUAAGGUCGGUCCGGGCCGCUUCAUCCUACAAUGCCGCCGAAACAAGAAACGACUAGUAGCGGCAAGAAGAAUUGGCAAACUCAACGCCCACAACUGCUUUGUGUUCUACUCGUGCAUAGUAACUACGCAUAGGCCUGGCUCAUGAUGCCACUGUUGGGAAUCGUAGCAUAAUUUAAAAUUUUCCUACGCUCACCAAGAUGCAUCUAUGGAGUAUACUAGCAACGAGGGGAAGGGAGUGCAUCUACAUACCCUUGUAGAUCGCGAGCGGAAGCGUUCCAAUGAACGUGGAUGACGGAGUCGUACUCGCCGUGAUCCAAAUCACCGAUGACCGAGUGCCGAACGGACGGCACCUCCGCGUUCAACACACGUACGGUGCAGCGACGUCUCCUCCUUCUUGAUCCAGCAAGGGGGGAGAAGAGGUUGAUGGAGAUCCAACAGCACGACGGCGUGGUAGUGGAUGUAGCGGGUCUCGGCAGGGCUUUGCCAAGCUUCUGCGACAGAGAGAGAGGUGUUGCAGGGGAGGAGGGAGGCGCCCAAGGCUGUGUUUUGCUGCCCUCCCUCCCCCCCACUAUUUAUAGGACCCCUGGGGGGCGCCAGCCCUUGGGAGAACAGAUCUCCAAGGGGGGCGACGGCCAAGUGGGGGGAAGGGGUGCCUUGCCCCCCAAGGCAAGGGGGAAGCUCCCCCCCCCUAGGGUUCCCAACCCUAGGCGCAUGGGGGGAGGCCCAAGGGGGGCGCCCCAGCCCACUAAGGGCUGGUUCCCUUCCACUUUCAGCCCACGGGGCCCUCCGGGAUAGGUGGCCCCACCCGGUGGACCCCCGGGACCCUUCCGGUGGUCCCGGUACAAUACCGGUAACCCCCGAAACUUUCCCGGUGGCCGAAACUUGACUUCCUAUAUAUAAUUCUUCACCUCCGGACCAUUCCGGAGCCUCUCGUGACGUCCGGGAUCUCAUCCGGGACUCCGAACAACUUUCGGGUUUCCGCAUACAUAUAUCUCUACAACCCUAGCGUCACCGAACCUUAAGUGUGUAGACCCUACGGGUUCGGGAGACAUGCAGACAUGACCGAGACGCCUCUCCGGUCAAUAACCAACAGCGGGAUCUGGAUACCCAUGUUGGCUCCCACAUGUUCCACGAUGAUCUCAUCGGAUGAACCACGGUGUCGAGGAUUCAAUCAAUCCGUAUGCAAUUCCCUUUAUCAAUCGGUAUGUUACUUGCCCGAGAUUCGAUCGUCGGUAUCCCAAUACCUUGUUCAAUCUCGUUACCGGCAAGUCUCUUUACUCGUACCGCAAUGCAUGAUCCCGUGACUAACGCCUUAGUCACAUUGAGCUCAUUAUGAUGAUGCAUUACCGAGUGGGCCCAGAGAUACCUCUCCGUCACACGGAGUGACAAAUCCCAGUCUCAAUCCGUGCCAACCCAACAGACACUUUCGGAGAUACCCGUAAUGCACCUUUAUAGUCACCCAGUUACGUUGUGACGUUUGGCACACCCAAAGCACUCCUACGGUAUCCGGGAGUUGCACGAUCUCAUGGUCUAAGGAAAAGAUACUUGACAUUGGAAAAGCUCUAGCAAACGAAACUACACGAUCUUUUAUGCUAUGCUUAAGUUGGGUCUUGUCCAUCACAUCAUUCUCCUAAUGAUGUGAUCCCGUUAUCAAUGACAUCCUAUGUCCAUAGUCAGGAAACCAUGACUAUCUGUUGAUCAACGAGCUAGUCAACUAGAGGCUUACUAGGGACAGGUUGUGGUCUAUGUAUUCACACAUGUAUUACGAUUUCCGGACAAUACAAUUAUAGCAUGAAUAAAAGACUAUUAUCAUGAACACAGAAAUAUAAUAAUAACCAUUUAUUAUUGCCUCUAGGGCAUAUUUCCAACAGAUCGUAUCUUCUAUACGACUCAUGCUCGACCUUUCGGUCCUCCGUGUUCCGAGGCCAUGUCUGUACAUUCUAGGCUCGUCAAGUCAACCUAAGUGUAUUGCGUGUGUUCCGAGGCCAUGUCUGUACAUGCUAGGCUCGUCAACACCCGUUGUAUUCGAACGUUAGAAUCUAUCACACCCGAUCAUCACGUGGUGCUUCGAAACAACGAACCUUCGCAACGGUGCACAGUUAGGGUGAACACUUUCUUGAAAUUAUUAUAAGGGAUCAUCUUACUUACUACCGUCGUUCUAAGCAAAUAAGAUGCAAAAACAUGAUAAACAUCACAUGCAAUCAAAUAGUGACAUGAUAUGGCCAAUAUCAUCAUGCUCCUUUGAUCUCCAUCUUCGGGGCACCAUGAUCAUCUUCGUCACCGGCAUGACACCAUGAUCUCCAUCAUCAUGAUCUCCAUCAUUGUGUCUUCAUGAAGUCGUCACGCCAACGAUUACUUCUACUUCUAUGGCUAACGCGUUUAGCAACGAAGUAAAGUAAUUUACAUGGCGUUAUUCAAUGACACGCAGGUCAUGCAAAAUAAUAAAGACAACUCCUAUGGCUCCUGCCGGUUGUCAUACUCAUCGACAUGCAAGUCGUGAUUCCUAUUACAAGAAUAUGAUCAAUCUCAUACAUCACAUAUAUCAUUCAUCACAUCUUCUGGCCAUAUCACAUCACAUAGCACUUGCUGCAAAAACAAGUUAGACGUCCUCUAAUUGUUGUUGCAAGUUUUACGUGGUUUGUAGGUUUCUAGCAAGAACGUUUUCUUACCUACGUAUGACCACAACGUGAUUUGCCAAUUUCUAUUUACCCUUCAUAAGGACCCUUUUCAUCGAAUCCGUUCCGACUAAAGUAGGAGAGACAGACACCCGCUAGCCACCUUAUGCAACUAGUGCAUGUCAAUCGGUGGAACCUGUCUCACGUAAGCGUACGUGUAAGGUCGGUCCGGGCCGCUUCAUCCUACAAUACCGCCGAAACAAGAAAAGACUAGUAGCGGCAAGAAGAAUUGGCAAACUCAACGCCCACAACUGCUUUGUGUUCUACUCGUGCAUAGUAACUACGCAUAGGCCUGGCUCAUGAUGCCACUGUUGGGAAUCGUAGCAUAAUUUUAAAAUUUUCCUACGCUCACCAAGAUGCAUCUAUGGAGUAUACUAGCAACGAGGGAAAGGAGUGCAUCUACAUACCCUUGUAGAUCGCGAGCGGAAGCGUUCCAAUGAACGUGGAUGACGGAGUCAUACUCGCCGUGAUCCAAAUCACCGAUGACCGAGUGCCGAACGGACGGCACCUCCGCGUUCAACACAUGUACGGUGCAGUGACGUCUCCUUCUUCUUGAUCCAGCAAGGGGGAAGGAGAGGUUGAUGGAGAUCCAGCAGCACGACGGCGUGGUGGUGGAUGUAGCGGGUCUCGGCAGGGCUUCGCCGAGCUUCUGGGAGACGGAGAGGUGUAGCAGGGGAGGAGGGAGGCGCCCAAGGGUGUAAGGUUGCUGCCCUCCCUCCCCCCCUUUAUAUAGGCCCCCUGGGGGGGCGCCAGCCCUGGAGAUGGGAUCUCAAGGGGGGGCGGUGGCCAAAGGGGGGAAGGGGGUGCCUUGCCCCCCAAGGCAAGUGGGAAGCCCCCCUAGGGUUCCCAACCCUAGGCGCAUGGGGAAAGGCCCAUGGGGGGGCGCCCAGCCCACUAGGGGCUGGUUCCCUUCCCACUUCAGCCCAUGGGGCCCUCCGGGAUAGGUGGCCCCACCCGGUGGACCCCCGGAACCCUUCCGGUGGUCCCGGUACAAUACCGGUAACCCCCGAAACUUUCCCGGUGGCCGAAACUUGAUUUCCUAUAUAUAAUUCUUCACCUCCGGACCAUUCCGGAACCUCUCGUGACGUCCGGGAUCUCAUCCGGGACUCCGAACAACUUUCGGGUUUCCGCAUACACAUAUCUCUACAACCCUAGCGUCACCGAACCUUAAGUGUGUAGACCCUACGGGUUCGGGAGACAUGCAGACAUGACCGAGACGCCUCUCCGGUCAAUAACCAACAGCGGGAUCUGGAUACCCAUGUUGGCUCCCACAUGUUCCACGAUGAUCUCAUCGGAUGAACCACGGUGUCGAGGAUUCAAUCAAUCCCGUAUGCAAUUCCCUUUGUCAAUCGGUAUGUUACUUGCCCGAGAUUCGAUCGUCGGUAUCCCAAUACCUUGUUCAAUCUCGUUACCGGCAAGUCUCUUUACUCGUACCGCAAUGCAUGAUCCCGUGACUAACGCCUUAGUCACAUUGAGCUCAUUAUGAUGAUGCAUUACCAAGUGGGCCCAGAGAUACCUCUCCGUCACACGGAGUGACAAAUCCCAGUCUCGAUCCGUGCCAACCCAACAGACACUUUCGGAGAUACCCGUAGUGCACCUUUAUAGUCACCCAGUUACGUUGUGACGUUUGGCACACCCAAAGCACUCCUACGGUAUCCGGGAGUUGCACGAUCUCAUGGUCUAAGGAAAAGAUACUUAACAUUGGAAAAGCUCUAGCAAACGAAACUACACGAUCUUUUAUGCUAUGCUUAGGAUUGGGUCUUGUCCAUCACAUCAUUCUCCUAAUGAUGUGAUCCCGUUAUCAAUGACAUCCAAUGUCCAUAGUCAAGAAACCAUGACUAUCUGUUGAUCAACGAGCUAGUCAACUAGAGGCUUACUAGGGACACGUUGUGGUCUAUGUAUUCACACAUGUAUUACGAUUUUCGGACAAUACAAUUAUAGCAUGAAUAAUAGACAAUUACCAUGAACAAAGAAAUAUACUAAUAACCAUUUAUUAUUGCCUCUAGGGCAUAUUUCUAACACCAAAAGUGGGGCCCGGUUUGGCCCCAGGGUGCCACGUUGAUCAGGAAUAUAGCGCAUGUCAGUCAUGUGCUAGUGGAGCGCUCAAAAGGGUUAGCUGGGUAAAUUUGUUUCGCCUACAAUUUAGUUUGUGAAAUAGUUACGCUUUGAGGUCAGUUUGUCCAUUUUGCCCCGGAUAAGGUUGUACGCCAGUCAACCACAUAGCACGGGUUUGAGAAGCAACACCAGCACACAAAAGAUGUAAGAGUAUGAGAAGGUACAAUCGCAAGGACAGAACUCGAUUUGAGCUACAAUGAAUUAGCCAAGAGGAAAAACUUCGGAUGCUUGAACUUUAAUGAUCUCAAAGGCGUACAACCCAUGCCGACAGAAAGCACCAUCUGCUUCGUAAAUAGUAUAGCGUAAGAUUUAUUUUACCUUGUUUUAUGCUUCAAUUUGAUCAUGUACUGUUCAUGAGGCUCAAGCAAUACAACAAUUAUCGAUUUCAUCGAUUUUUUUCUCUAUUCUCUCUACAUGGUAUCAGCCUAACCCCGAUCCAAAUCAUAGCCGCCGUUGCUUCCGCACUGCACCGUCCCGGGGGCAGUCAAUCCCCAUGAUCGCCACCGAGGGCAGUGUCAUCCGUACCUCAGGUUCGUCCGCUGGUUGUGUUGAUCGACUGCCCUAGAGAGUCUUUUUUCCGAUCCAUUGAUCCGAAUUUUCUCUCACGCGUUGGUCGUUUUCAUCACCGUUUUCAAUUUUGUUUUUCGAUCUAAGAUAGGUUUAAGUCGCCCACCUCCGCCCAUCGACCCCCACGCGCCUCUAUUCCAACACUGGCCCGACUAUCCGGCCUCUUAGCCGAAUAGGCGACCUCGCGCGGCGUGGUGGCCCGCGACCAUCGCCGCACAUCCGUCCGCCCAUCGUUCUGCGCCAUCCGUCAUUGCCUUCAUCCAAUCAGGAUCCUGCACAAACCACGCCUCCAUCCCGCUCAACCGUAUCAGGCCGCUAGGCCAUAGCGCCGCCAUGCACGCGAUGCGUCGACCGGUUGCAUUGUGUUGCCUCGCUCCGCGCCCGGUCGGACGUGGGUCGUGCGCGCACGCAUUGGUUGUACGCACGUUCGUUCGGGCAUCGCCUCGGCCGCCCAACUCCUUCAUCACCAAGAGGCAUCCCCGACCUCGCAAGCGAUCAGAUUGAUCACCGCCUGCCCACGCUCUGGCCCAUCCGUGUCGGGCGACCGACCUAGCCAGUCGCUUGCGCGCUCCUCCGCAGGUCUCGUGAAGAUCAUUCCCAAGUACAACGCGCCUCUCCACUGAUCAAGCAACGGGUUGGCACUGUGUCGUCUCGCCGGUCCGCAGCGCCACUGCCCCGUGGUUGAACCGACUCGCGCGCCGUCGUUGCGUCGCCCCUUUGGACAAUAGCAUUGUGGCACACGGUCCACGCCGCCGCCCCGAGGGUGUCCCCAAAGUGCACUGACCCGUGUGCUGCUGUUGCAUCACCCCUUCGGGGCAUAACGCAGCGGCCCGCGGUCCAUGCUGCCACCCUGGCCGUCCCCACGGCUGCACCGGCCUGUGCGUUGUCGCUGUGUCGCCCCUUCAGACUUAUCGAGGACAUCAGACUUACUUCUAAUACUUAUUUCUUCUUAUCUUUCAUUAAUACGAGUAAUUGUUAAGAAUUAGCCCCACUUUUUCCUUCCUUUUACUCAUUGGUACUUCUUACUUUCUUUGAUUUAAGUUUUCGCUGUGCUCUCAAAAAAGGGGAAAAUCGUGAUUUUUUUUGCAUGUUUUUAUUUGCUUCCACAGGAAUAUGUGCUUCUAAAGGAGGCACAGGUUUGCUUCCGUGAGAAGCAUAAUGCUUCUCAGAAAGGGAAAAUUUUCUUUAAAAAAUCUUUUUUGCACAAGUUGUGCGUCUCGGAAAAGGGGAAAAUCAUGAUUUUUUGUGUGCUUCCAUUAGAAGCACAGAAUUGCAUGUUUUGGAGACAUAGAUAUGUGCUUCUCAAAAAGGGAGAAAAAGGUGGGAAAAACAGUGCUUCCGGCUACGGCUUUUUUCUUCCGGUUUUUUUUCAUAAAAAAUUAAUCCAAAACCUAUUAACAUGGGAUGUACUUUCGAAGAUCUUGAUGCAAGAAAUCCAAUGGUUUAAAUGGUUCGGUAUUUGGAUGUAUGGUUCCAGAGAUAAAAUACUUUCAAAGCAGCAAAUACAAGACUUUUUCUUGGUUUAGCGAUGAAUCGCUAUUUGUAGACCGCGGGUGGAUUGUACGGAGUAUUAGGGGAGUUUUCUGCAAAAUUACUGGACGGGCCAGUUGGAAAAAGUUGCUUGAAUAGUUGGAGGUUCACUAGUAGAAAAGGGGGCUUUUGUCCCGGUUGGUAAGGGCCUUUAGUCCCGGUUUUUGAACCGGGACUAAAGGGUCGUUACUAACGCCUCCCUCCUUUAGUCCCGGUUGGGUGUUACCAACCGGGACUAAAGGAAAUUUUAUGAUUUUUUUUUGAACUUUUUUUUGCGAAUUUUUUUUAUUUAUUUUUUUUUCAAAUUUCUGAAUUAUUUUAACCUCUAAUCUCUAAUCACCACCCCUCAUCACUGCUCAAUUUAUCCUCUAAUCUCUAAUCACCCCUCAUCAUUCCAAAUCAUCUAACUUCCCGGACGGUCACCCAUCCUCUCACUACUCCAGCCUGAGCACGCUUAACUUCCGGGUUCUAUUCUUCCUCGUUUCCAAGUCUGCACUUGUUGUUUUCCUGACAAUAGUAAGAUGUCAAUUCUAUUAACCCUCAGGAAUUUAGCUUGAGCAUGAAGUGACACAUUUCACUGUUUGAGUUUGAAACUAUUGUUUUAAAAAAAAUAAUUAUUUAGUAACACUAAUAUUUCUGGAACAAUUAGUUUGACCAUUGUUUGACCACACUUUGACCAGAUUAGACCAAAAUUCAAAAAAACUGAAAUAAUUAUUUAGUAACACUAAUAUUCUAGAAUAAUUAGUUUGACCAUUGUUUGACCAUAGUUUGACCACGAUUUGAAUUUUUUAGAAUUUUUUUGCCUCUCCAGAUCUUAAAAGCCCCAUAUCUUUUUUUCGGUUAGGUUUUUGAGGAUUUUGAAAAUGUUUAACGGGGUUCCCCAGUUAAAUUCGGAUGUAACUUUUCGAGUAGAUGAUUUUUCAUAUAAAAAACUUUUUCAUCCGAGUUCGUAUGCAAAAGUUAUGCCCAUUUUAAGAAAUUCCAGAGAGAUUUUGCAAAUAAAGUCGAAAUUCAUAUUUGUUAAUUUUCCNNNNNNNNNNNNNNNNNNNNNNNNNNNNNNNNNNNNNNNNNNNNNNNNNNNNNNNNNNNNNNNNNNNNNNNNNNNNNNNNNNNNNNNNNNNNNNNNNNNNNNNNNNNNNNNNNNNNNNNNNNNNNNNNNNNNNNNNNNNNNNNNNNNNNNNNNNNNNNNNNNNNNNNNNNNNNNNNNNNNNNNNNNNNNNNNNNNNNNNNNNNNNNNNNNNNNNNNNNNNNNNNNNNNNNNNNNNNNNNNNNNNNNNNNNNNNNNNNNNNNNNNNNNNNNNNNNNNNNNNNNNNNNNNNNNNNNNNNNNNNNNNNNNNNNNNNNNNNNNNNNNNNNNNNNNNNNNNNNNNNNNNNNNNNNNNNNNNNNNNNNNNNNNNNNNNNNNNNNNNNNNNNNNNNNNNNNNNNNNNNNNNNNNNNNNNNNNNNNNNNNNNNNNNNNNNNNNNNNNNNNNNNNNNAGCCCAUUAGUACUGGUUGGUGGCACCAACCGAGACUAAAGGACUAACCUUUAGUCCCGGUUGGCACCAACCGGGACUAAUGGGCAUCGCACCCUUUAGUCCCGGUUCGUGGCACCAACCGGGACUAAAGGGCCCAGGUGAACCGGGACUAAUGCCUUAGCCGCACGAACCGGGACCAAUGCUCACAUUAGUCCCGGUUCGUGACUGAACCGGGACUAAUGUGAAUAUUGCCCUGUGACGAAAGCCCUGUUUUGUACUAGUGGUUCAUUUGCAAUGGCAAAGCAGAAUUCUCAAGUUUCUGAUACGCUUGUGGCCAGAGGAACAGAAGCACAUAGACUAUCCAUAUUGUCAUCUUCUUUCAUGCGUCUGCAGCUCAUAUCGUUAUGUGCAUGUCACACCCAGGUCAGAAAGUGACUAUGUACUAAACAGCACAGAUUAUCCUUGUCACCAGCAGCUACUGGACUACAAAGGUCUCUUCUCGCCUGGACCAAUUGCCACGUCCUUCACGGGUGAGGCCGGAGAGAUAAAACUGAUUAACCAAAUCUACCAAAUUUCCAUAAAACAACUUCCGAUGCCUUUCAAGCCUACACAUUUUGUGUAAAUAUAGUAGACGUUUUCUGCUCUCUGGAUAUAUGAAGUUAUGGACCAUCUAUGUUCAUCAUUGCUAGAGAAAACUGGAACUGGGAGGCUCUGCGGAGACCAAUAUUUAUCGAUUAGGUAUUUACUAGCACAUAUGCCCGUGCGUUGUAACGGGAGAUAAUUUUUUUGCAACACGCGGGAGGAGAGAUAAUUGAUGUGUUCAUCAAAAAUUGUCUCCACGGCGGUGGGUGACAAAGCGAGGAGCUGCGGUCUUAUCACAUGUCAUGUUUGGCCCAUGAGAUCUUGAUAGUGGUGGGGUUGGUCAGCGUAACGGCGACCACCCGACUGGUACCUUUUUUCCUACGGGUUCACCUCCGUCUCGGAGUUGUGAUUGCGUCCUCAUUUGGUUGUUGUGCGACGACCUUCGAGGCACAGUUGCUUCGACCACCUUCUCCUACAAGGACCUAAUCGGAUGGAUUACUAAUUGCAGCGCAUAAAUUAUGUUUCAUGUAUAAUCAGCACAUAACCAGGCAUGAAUGUCCCUUCAUUUUCAGGGUUUAUUCUCUUCAACUAUUUUUGCGCUCACGUGCCCAUAAAUUUUAUUAAUUAGAGCAAAACCAGCAUAUUCUUUUUUAUUAGCACAUUCCCACAAUUGUUUUCCAUUAUAGCCAACCAGCAUAUUGUCUUUUAUUGGCACUUGCAAGUUACCUCUGGCAAUAAUUUGUGGAGUCCCUCGUUCCACUCAUAAUUCUCAAGAUAACUUCCUUAUUGUCACACAACCUCUUUAUUUGCAGACAACUUAGGGAAAUAUAAUAACUUGUGUGAUUUAGUAUAAAAUGCCAAGAUGAGACUGUUUGUAUCAUAAUUGCAAGAUAGCUGAGUUGCUUUUAUCCGUCGGCACAAUAGGAAAGGCCAUAGUUCAAUCCCCUGGCGCCCUUCACUCUUUGUUGCUCGCAUGUCCGACAGAAAAAGAAAUACGUGGUAGGUCCAGUUUGGCCCACCCAGUGAUAACCGAAAAAAAUUGGAGAGCUACGUGUUGAAUGGACAGAACAAAAUCUAUACAUAUUUUUCUUUUCUUUUCUUAGGGCACCUGCGUGGGAGCUACUAUAACGCUAGUUGCGUCAAAUAGCGCGUCGGACGCACAACAGUUCGCGUCUGGGUCAGCCCACUGGCAGGCACCGAAAUAACCUAUGUUUGCAAGGAACGAGUAAUAAUCCAAAAAAACGACGUGUUCAACGAUCGAACACAUGACCUUAAAGACCCGACCACGUACCGCUAGCCAUGGCUACAAACGCCUACUGCUAACCAAUGGCCAGCGCGAAUAUUUAAGAACAUAGUGCAACGUCAGAUUUAAAACAUUUUUUGAACUUAAAAAAAUGAAUUGCCGAAUAAUCUUAGAAACGUGAAUAUUUUUUGAAAUUACGAACAAUGUUUUUAAUAUUCCGUUCAUUUUGGAACAAACAUGAACAAAACUUGAAACAACAUCAUUCUUUUAAGACAUGAACCUUUUAUCAAAACCCAAACAUUUUUUUAAUUUUUGACCGACUUUUGAAAACAGACAUGUUUUGAACAUUCAGAACAAUUUUAUAUAAUGUGUUUUUAAACGCGGACAUUAUUUUGAGUCUAUAUACAUUCUACUAAAUCAAGAAUAUAUUUCAAAUUUCGAAUAGUUUUUUAAAAUACAUGUUUUUAAAUCACAAAAAAAAUUGGAAUAUUUCUGAAUUUGAAAAAAAAUUGGAAUGAGAAAAUAAAUCAUUUUCCAAACAUUUUGAAAGUGGAGGACAAUAUUGUAAUUUGAACAUUUGAUGAAAAUAUUUAAAAAAAUUCAAAUUCUUAAUUUUUUUAGAAAAAUGGAAUUACGAAAUAGGGUAAAAAUAAAAAUAAAUUAGGACGGAAAAAUAAAACGUGCCGGCCCAGUCUUGGGCGCUCUGUGGGAUGUCGUACUAUCUGCCGCACAGGGCGAGAAGUAGGAUUUUUGUAGCUACAUGGGCAGGCAAAUAAAUGGGCUGGCUUCACUGGGCCACAGCGUGUGAGGGCCUAGUACGAAAUUCUGGAUUGAUAAAAAUACAGACAGACGCAUACAAAUUCAGUACCACCUCGGAUAGAAAAAUAUAUUUCGAUGGUGAACGGAUGAAAAAAAUCGAAGAAACGCACCUUGCUUUAUUAGUAAGUAUAGAUAUAGAUGACAUGAAGGUGUGUUGUUGGCCCACUGCAUCACAUGGCUCGUGUCCGCUUCUAGUACCAUAUUAGCUCAUGGGAUGCCCUUCUCUAAUCAGCUUUGAUUUUCUACUUUUACCUUUAAGUGUGAUAAAACCAUAUAUCAACUUGGCCAUAUAUAUUCUCUCAUCGGUUGCACGCCUUCCAACUAAUGCUGAGGCUGGGCGUAAUUGAUAUCUUCGCGAUAUUAAUAUAUUUCCUUUUUCAAAAAGAAAACGCCUUCCAACCAUAGCCAGACACAACCGGGAAGCUAGACCAAACAUCUGAAAUCUUAGUCUUUACAUCACACACAUUAAAAACUCUUAUUAGAAAUUCCACCAUGCACGCACGCACGUCCACGUGCAGACCAUCUGGUACCAAACCUCUUAGCGCGACUUCUUUUCUAUCUCUAUUCAAAAUUGCAGAUAGUGCAUAACCUAGUAGGUUUGAAAGCAGUUUUUUUAUGCAAAAUUUCUGGAAGUUUGAAGUUCAGCUUAAUUGAGCAAGUCUGCAUAAUCACAAGAAAUUUGCCUCCCCCUUCCUCCUUUUCUUCCACACUGUUAUUUCAACUACUCAGACAAGUGUGCUCUUUGAGUUUGUAUCCACUUGAUACACCUUUUUGGGCCAAUAAAUAAAAUCCAUCCUAUGUUGAAAAAAGAUAUUAUGCCGACCCGCAAAUUUCCUCCUGCAUUCAUCCGCGGACAGCGGGACCAGUCCACAGAUACGGAUGCGGGAGGCGACUAUUCAACGCUGCUCGCAUACAUCUUCCAGCUUUCCUUUAUAUGUUGAUCGUUUCUUAGCUACACUUGCCUAAUUAGAACUUGCUCAAGUUUGGAUUACUCCAACAUGAUUCGUAGUGCCACGUGAUGAACAGUCCCUAUCCGAUAGCUCAUCCGCUGAUUUCUAUAGCUAGCUUUAAAGCAAAGAUCCAAGAAGCAUCACGCACUGUCACACAAUCAUUCUCCGUCGUUCCUUGAGAAGCGAACCCGACGGGUUGGAGCAACGGCUCAGAGCAGCAGCAGAUGAAUGACGUCACCAAGGUGGACCUUCGCGGGCUGGAGUCCGUAGAGCAAGGCUGGGAGCAAGCCUGGGACACGGCGAGUGUGUCCGUGGCGGUGCGCGACGUGCUCCGCUGGUAAUCAACCAAGGCUACCCUCUGUUGGCCAUAAUAAGCCGCGGCGACGAUCAGGCGCAGCAGAGCGCGUGUGCGGGCGCGCGCUGGCCGCGUCGGGUGCGUCGGGCCCGUAGCAAGUGCGUGCGUGUGUGUGCAUGGGUGCGCGUGUGUGCGCGCGGUAGCCAUGCCGUAGACGUAGGUGGCCGUUGGCGAGCAGGGCGGUGUGAUCGGGUCAGACUAGUGGGCGCAGCCGAAGCGGGCCAGGUCGUGGCCAGGCUGGGCGGGGGACGUGCGGGUCAUGCCCGGCAUGUGCCCAGGGUAUAAGAGCACCUGCGGGCUCGUUGUAAUGGCCGUGGGUUAUUGAGUUCGAGCUCAAGGAAAGCGUUCGUGCGCUGAAAACCUCCCCGUGUCCUUCUUCCUUCUGUCUUCGUCCUCCUCGUGUCGUUCGAGCGCAGCAGAGAGGGAGAGCGAGGUAGAAGAGCGGCGUCGCGCGAGGCGGCGCCAACACCAUCCAUUGUGGCUUCCUUGCCGUGGUUGUGUCCGUCCGUAUAUGUGCAGCGACACGAUCGUGCCGGCGGCCAUGGACGCCUUCACUUACGGUGGAGAGGGAUGGUGCUCAAGGGCCUCGGCGUCCAGGAGGAGCGCAUCAACGCACACCUGGGCGCGCUCGCCGACGCCGUCCAACGGCGUGCCGCGGGACGCAGAGACCGUCGUGUGUGUCCAUGCAGGCGCGCUGCGACGACAGUGUGAUCACCAUGAUUGUCCAGCACGAGAUGGAGGGGCUCGAGGUGCACGCCUCGAACGGGAGUUGGCUCGCAGUGCCACCCGAUCCGGCGGCCUUCACAUUCGUGGCCGGCAAGAAGUUCAGUGUAAAACAAGUGCCAUCUCUCUGACGGUGCUACUGUUAGAAUGAUCAGAGGAGAGAGCCUACAUAGGGUUACAUCUCAGUUGGCGUAUGUACAUUUCAAGUUGUUGGAAACUGUAGCAGCAGUAAAAUUCUGAUACCCACCAAGUGCAGCCAAAAUAAAUACUUUACCAAUCAGAGGUUCAAACUCAUGUCCGGAUGUGACUAUAUCAGGGUUCAGGUCACAGAGUACACGACAAGAGAACCAUGCGGGGAAUGUACUCGUCUCCCGAGGCUGCUGGCCGCCAAAGGUCUCUUCCCGUCCAGGCCGAACACCAUCCGACCUGGUCGGGAAGAGACCUACACAAUUCUUCGUGGUUGUACCGAUGCAUCAGAUUAGCUGGCUCCGUCCGGCUGCCGAAAAAUUGUUCCCGAUGCCUUUCAAACCUACACAAUUCAAUUUGUAUAAAUUUGGCAAACACUUUUCACUCUCUGGAUAUAUGGACGGAUCUCUGUCCGUCGACCCUUGCUAGGGGGAAUUGGAAUUAGAACUGAGAGGCUCUGGAGAGAUCGAUAUUUAUUGGCUGGGGAGACAUGAAGGUGUAGCACAUGGGGUACUCUUCUCUAGCAGAUUUUCAUAUGCUAUGUUCACCUUUAUGCGUAGUAAAACCAUAUAUUGACUAUGUCAUAGGGGAUCCAGACGGAACUAGCAAAGGUAAUAAUACAGGUGUCACCUAUUCUUGUAUUGUAGCCUCCUGUUUCCCCCUCGGUGCUUAGUCUCACAUGUCCUGUGUCUUCUGCCCAUAGAUGGGAACAACUGUGGAUGAAGGCUAGGAGUACAUUAUCAUCACGCCACUGGAGAAGCUGAGCGUGACAGCCAUCGACGCCUACGACAACCACCAGAUGGCGAUGGCCUUCUCCCUGGCCACCUGCGCCGAGGUACCAGCCACCAUCGAGGACCCCGGGUGCACCCACAUGAUCUUCCCCAACAACUUGGACAUGCUAAGCACCUUCGUCUUCUUGCGAGAUGAUGUAUGAGCCUAUAAUAUUAGUUUUAUAGCAUGGGGUGGGACUUGAGGUAAAAUGAGUUGUAGUGCACCCUGUAUUCAUUUUUUGAAUAAGAAAUAAAUGACCAGCCAGUUAGUUACCCAGAUGUAAUGCUGCUCAAGGAGGAUCUUCAACAUGCAAGCUAGGGGAGGAGGCAACAUCCCCACGCUCCCAAGUAACCAAGGAUUCAGCAAAUGGUGCCCAAGUAGUACAGCUUGCACAAAGAGUAGCACAACUCUCAACUGCUUGAACAUGUAAUGCUCAACCGAAACGAAACAAUUCAAGUAAACAUCUCAAUGCGAGAUCCUACAGAGCGAGUGUGUGCCACCUGCAUAGGAGAUCGAUGCUCAUUGUUAUUGCAUUAUGCGUGAAGCAUGCUAUGGAAGCUUAAUUAAUGCGACUUUGUAACAUGUACUACUACUUUUUAAGAAUCACAUGUACUCCCUCCGUAAACUAAUAUAAGAGUGUUUAGAUCACUAUUUUAGUUAUCUAAACACUCUUAUAUUAGUUUACAGAGGGAGUACAUACUAGUGUGUACUAGGAGAAACAGUUGGCGUAAACAAGUGAACCUUGGGACACCGAGGAGCAGCCUAAUGUGUACUUCAGCAUUCCACGGGGACUGUACAACUUGUUUCCCGCGAUGGCUGGCCCGCAAAAGGUCCCUUCCAUUCCAGGCCGAUCGCCAUCUUCUCUACUUGGUUAGCCUGGAGAAAUAAAGUGGUUAACAGACUUUGCCUCAUCAUCAUAAAAUUGUUCCUGGUUCCUUUUAAGCCCACACAAUUCAUAAUUGAUGCUUUUCAAUCUCUAGAUAUACGGAUGAUUUUCUCAUUGUUAGAGGAAAUAUGAAUUGGAACUGAGGGGCACGAGGGAGAUUGAUCUCCAUCCAACGUUGCUAGAGAAUAUUGGUAUUGGGUAUGGUGACAUGAAGGUGCCACCACUUGCCCACCGCAUUGCAUAUCUUUUGUGUGCUUGUGGUACUAUUUUAGCUCAUGGGUUACACUUCUAUAGUUAGCUUUAAUUUGCUAUCUUCACCUUUAUGUAGUAAAAUCAUAUAUUGACGAUGUCAUAGGCUCUCAUCGGGUACACGCCUCCAUAGCUAAAUCACUGGUCAUCCUACAAAAUUCGGUACGAAUGGCAAACACAUAGCAUGGCUUCCAUGGUCGACACCAGCACAACAAAGAGGCAAGAGCAUGAGCAGGUUUAUUACAGUCAUAAUGAUUACAAUCAUAAUGAGAACUCACCCUAAUGGUUCCAUUGAUUUCAAUGGUUUGAUCUGUUGUACCCUUGUAGGAAUCCUCAUCUGAUGUAUGGAUCCCCCGAAGGAAGUAGGGAAACAAAUCCAAUUAUUUCAUUUUGAUAGUGGUGAUAAUAUCGAGGGAAAGAUUAUACCUUCACCAAUGAAGUUAAUACAAGUGAGGAUUGAUUUUUGUUAUUCAUAUAAUUCAGAAUAGGAAGAUUGUCUCGAUGAAGACUGGCCUUCUCACUCUCAGCACAUCUACGUCUAGAUUCUUCCCUGGGUUCUUGAAUUGAGAUGCCGACAACUCUUUCCUCGGGAAUUAUGCCAUCUGUUUGCUAUGAAAAAUCAGACUAUGACAGAUCAUAUAGAUAAAAAUGAAUGGAGUUUUAUUAGCUCACUGUACACAUCCAGUAUAACGUCUUCCUGAGCCCCUAUUUAAAGAGGUGUCAUGUUCUGUUUUACCAUGGGGAUGAUCAUCCAAUACAUUGCUUGUUUGUUAAGAACGUAAGAAGUCGAUACUAGAAUAGGUGUUUAUCCAACAGAGGUUCGACUUGAGCUUCAAUAAAACUAGUUGAGAGGAUAAACUCACUGCUUGAAAUUUAAUUCCAAUGGCAUGUAAUUCUUGCUAGGAGAAAGCAUUGCUUGCUUCAGUGUCAUGCAAGCUAGGUAAGGGACACAACAGCUCUCAACUAAGUGCUUUAAAUAUAAUGCUCAACCUAAAUGAAACAAUCCAAGUAUGGAUGUCAACACGAGAUCCUAUGGAGGGAGAGCCCACCACCAACAUAGAAGAUCGAUGCCCAUUAUUGUUGCGUUAUGCGUUAUGCGUUAAGCACGUUGUGGGCACUUAAUUAGUGUGACCUUUUAGUAGACACAAUUGGGCAGACAUUUAGCAUAAGCAAGUGGCCCAAUUCGUUUUUAGAAAAAACAAGAGCGUCACAUGGCAAUCCAUAUUCUACACAAUCAAAAAAAUACUCUAAUGAGAAGAGGUGUGACCUCAGGUCGAGAGAUGCCUAAAUGUCAGGUCAGAGUGUCAAUGCACCUUGUCGCAGGGAUUGUACAUGUCUCCUAUAGUUGCUAGCCUGCUAAGGUCUCUUCCCAUCGGGGCCUAUCACCAAGUCCUCUAUCAGAUGAGGUUGGGGAAACAAACUAUUGUAACAAAUGGAGCCUUGUUUUCAUAAAACUGUUCCCGGUGGUUUCGUACACUUAUAUUACAAUCAUGAGGAGAACGUUAACUCACCCUAAUGGUUUCACUUAUUUGAAUGGAUUGAUCUGUCCUACCAUAGUAGGAAUCCUCAUUCAAUUUAUUAAUCCCCUUGAGAAAGUGGGGAAGCAAAUCUAAUUAUUUUGUUUUGAUACGAGUAGUUACAGUUUCAAGGAAAGUGUAUCUCUUCAUUCAUGAAGGUAAUAAAAGUGAGGAUUGAUUCUGUUAUCCAUAUAAUUCGAAAGAGGAAGAUCAUCUUCUCAAGGAAGCCUGACCUUCUCGCUCUCGGCACAUCCGAGUAUUUUGUUCAGAUAUUUUUUACUAUUUUUAAAUUGUUUUUUCUAAGCGGGUGUGCCUAGACCCGGGUUCCAAAAAUCCACAUCCGGCUCGAUGGUAGAUGAAUAAAUUUGUUUUAUAAACACUAUCAUACGUGGAGUAUUGGUGAAGUCUAGCAUCCACUUGGGAAAUUUAAAACCGCUCGGAAUGAGCGGGUAGCUAUCUGAAAAGAACAAAAAAGACAAUCAACACUCGAGAGAUUUAUUUAAAGAAAGCAAAUAAGCAGGGGGUGCUUUGGUAGACGGCCCAGAUACUUUCCCCCACCCGGAACCCCCCAUCGAUUCUCGUCUCCCUCCGACCCCAGCGGCGGCGCACGUCUGGGGCUCCGCCGGCGGCCGGACUAAAUGAGUGAGUCCCUCGGUUUCUCUUCCCCCUCCCUCCGUCCCUCCGUUCUUCUCUCCGCACACACACAGGGCGAGAGCCAGAGCAAGCGCGAGCUUGGCCGGCAGCGCACGGUAGCGGGGCUGCUGCUGCUUGCCGGUGGUGUGGCAGUAGCAGGGGUAGGAUCUUGUCGUUUGUCAUUUCUUUAGGUGCGCUUCCUGCUGCAGGAGCAAGAGCAGGAGCAGUUGCAGGAGCUUCAGGGACGGCGACACGAGGCUGACGCGCGCAUGAGCUUCACGGCAGCACCUUGAUUUCCUCCCCAGAUCCCAGGUUAUUUGGCCCGCCCCUAAAUCCUAAUGUUCCUCUUAGUACUAGUGCUUUGCAGAGAAUCUCCAUGCUGUUGACUUGUCAUCUAAAUAUUGCCGAAUUGCCAGCAUAGAAUGUCCAUGGUUUUACAACGAGACAAAUAUGUUAAUUUAUACUCCCUCCGUCCCAAAAAGCUUGUUCCUCAAAUGGAUGUAUCUAGCACCAAGUUAGUGCUAGAUACAUCAAUUUGAGGGACAAAUUUUUCCGGACGGAGGGAGUAUUCAACAAAAAUCCUAGGCUUGGAGGAGCACCUUCCUUCCUUCCGAUUUUGACAACUCUUUGGUUGGGGACCGAAAGUUGCUUGUUUGCCCAUGGAGUAGCAAGUAGCUACGUACGUGUUUGCGCACCGUUGGACACAAAAUUAGGAUGGGGUAAUCGGAGGCGAUUUUUGGUAGAUCUAGUGAAGUUUGUUCGCCCGUAUUGAGAGAGAGUUUUCGUCGAUACACAAGGGCGCACCUGAGCCGGAGAAAGGGAACUGUUGAACAACUUACCUGUCCCAUCUUGGCAUGGGUCAUGGCAACCUUGUAUGCCCACGCUUCGCGCACUCCUUGAUAAUUGGAAACUAUAGCCUGUACAUAUGAUCAUUUUCCAAUCAAGGUUGCAAGUUAUUUGGAAUUCUAGGAGCAUCGUGUGUACAAAUAAACUGAGGAAAUACAGGAACACAGAAUUAUUACAGAAGCCAGUCAAACAGAAUAACAUUGUCUUCAUCAGAAAUGCAAGUAUUGUGCUCCUGUUUUCGUUUUUAAUCCUUUUUUGGCUUUUUUUACCUUUCAUUUAAUUAAUCAUAGCUGUAUUACAUCCAGUCUAUCUUGUAACUAUUGCAACUUUACUCAACAAUUCUUUGUCUUGCCCCCUUUGUUAUUUAUAGGACAUAAUGGCGGAUAUCCCGUUAGGCUGUUACACUAUAAAGUCCCAUGGAGCCCAAAUUGCAAGACUCCACAUGUAUGACUGGAUAAUACUUGUCCUCCUUGCUGUCAUAGAUGGAUUGUUGAAUAUAAUUGAGCCUUUUCACCGUUUCGUUGGGAAGGACAUGAUGACUGACUUGAGAUACCCCUUACAGGGCAAUACUGUGCCCUUUUGGGCUGUUCCGGUGUGUUCUUGUGCUGCUAAUUUUGGACUUCCCAUUGUUUACAUCAUUUUUGUGCCAUUCAAUAAGAUAGUUCCACUUUUGUAACUCACAUGAUUUGCAGGUCAUUGGAAUCGUCUUACCCUGUGCCAUCUUUGGUGGAAUUUACUUCAAGAAGAAGAAUUUCUAUGAUUUGCACCAUGGCAUACUGGGUAUCUACAUAUUCUUAGGCAUAUGAAUAUGUUGACAUUGUAUGUACAAGAAAUAAUUCGAAACACGUGUUUUUGUAGGUAUUCUUUAUUCGGUGCUCAUAACUGCGGUGAUUACUGAUGCAAUUAAGGAUGGAGUUGGCCGACCGCGUCCUGAUUUCUUCUGGCGCUGUUUCCCAGAUGGAAAGGAUGUAAGAUUACUAGCCAAGAACUUCACUUUUUCCAGUCACAAGUUCAUCUUUGUUGACCUGCCCAUUGUUCAGUUCUUAUCAUCUAUGGAGCCCAUAUUGACCAAAACUCAUCGAAGGACUCUUUUUCAGCUUUAUGACAAUGUCACUACUGGCGUUCUGUGCCAUGGGGAGAAGAGUGUCAUCAAGGAAGGUCACAAGAGCUUCCCAAGUGGACAUGCAUCAUGUAAGUCAUUUAAUAUACCUAAUGUUUCCUUUGGAAAUACUGGUGUCAGGCAUUUGGUCAGCUAUGCCUAUGGAAUUCUUUAAAACUCAGUUACAUACUUGAAGUUGUUUUUUACACCCUUGUGAUAAUCCUUUUUGACACAAACCAUGCUGGGACCUGGGAAUAAGUGAUGAUACCUGUAUUUUUGCGGUUGGUUGGGCUGCUUGUGUUAGCUGGCUUAGGAGGCCUUAGUGGCAGUCAUUGAACCAGGGGAAGUCUGAUGGGUGGCUAGGCCACAAUUGGGCACGAGACAGCCUGGUGCGUUGGCUACAUUGGUGCGAUGUGGCAGCGAACCAGGAAGUGACCCAUUUCAGUUUAGAUGCUUUGGUUGCUGCUUGGUGUAGUAGUUGUGUGGUAACUAGUUUUGGAACUACUCCACAGCAUAAAAACAUUGGGUUUGUCAUGUGUACCAUUUUGUGGAGGUAUAUAUAUACAUCUUAUAAUGGACAAUGCCACAUAGGUCAUAUGUUUGAUUAGAGACCCCACAAAAUUGGCCUAGCCUUACAAUUGGGUCAGUCUUUUAUUACCCACAUGUACAAUCUAUUUAUGUUGUAGUGCUGUUACAAUUGCGUCAAAUAGGUCAUGGCUAGAUCACCUAACUAGACCAUCGAUAAAAUAACCUGUUUUCUUUCACCUUGUGCUAAUAAUCAAUCUAUUCCAGGGUCUUUCGCCGGCCUGGGCUUCCUCACGUGGUACUUAACUGGGAAAAUCGCGGUUUUUGACCGUAAAGGCCAUAUCGCAAAGCUGUGCAUCAUUGUUCUGCCUCUGCUUACAGCUGCGCUCGUUGCCGUUUCUCGUGUGGACGACUACUGGCAUCACUGGCAAGAUGUGUUUGCAGGAGCUAUCAUAGGUUCGUUUGCCAUCUGUCGUAGUUGCGUAAAUUAGUUAUACAGGUGACCUUCUAGAUGCGCAUAAUUGAUUAAUAAAAAUAAAUAUACUCCUGUUGCCCUUUGCAGGUCUCACAGUGGCCUCAUUCUGUUACCUGCAAUUUUUCCCAUAUCCUUUCGACGCAGACGGUGCCUCCCCCUUUUACCAAUUUACUUCUCAAUGAUAAUACUUAGCAAGUAACGAUUUCCCUUGCAGGAUUGUGGCCUUACGCAUACAACACCCUCCAGCUAGCCGAGGCGGGCAUUGCAGCAAACUCCUUCAGCGUGCGGCCCACCGAGGAGAUGGUAGAAGAAGGGCAAGGUGAGGGUGGGAUCGCCCUGAGAGACGCCGUGUGGCCCAUGGAGGAGACGGUAGAAGAAGGGCAAGGUCAGGGCAGGAUCGCCCUGAGAGACGCCCUGAGAUGUGAAGAAGACCAGGACUGGAAAGAUCCGACGACACCCUAACUGCAAUGAUUUUCCUCAGGCUUAUGUUUUCGGCGCACAUCGCAGGCGGCUAUCUGGGAGCUGUUUUUCUCAUGCACAGUUUGGUUGCUUGGUUUUCACCGUUUGUUUGCUAGAGGUUGACUUGAUUGGAUAGUUUGGCCAGUGAGGAUCUCGGCUGUAUAUUACAACCUAGUUAGUGUUAGUGUGGUGGGUGAGACAUUGUGCAUUAAUUAUUUCUUGGUCUUUCUGAUGGCUGUUUUUUCAGAAAGCGGUAUGUAUGUAUAUAUGAUUUGCUUUGAUUUUAUCAAGUUUGAUUGGGUUGCUCAACUUGGGUGAAUUGCAACCAGAAAAAUUGGUUUGAAUGCAGGAAUUCUCAUACAGGUAAACUUUGCGCCCACUUCAGAUCAUCGGUUGUUUCUACUACUACCUCUGUCCGGAUUUAUUAGGCUCCCUCAUAUUUGGGUCAAAGUAUAAUGCUGGCUGUCUAUUAGGCUCCCUCAUAUUUCGGGUCAAAGUAUAAUGCUGGUUGUCUUCCAAAGUGGUUUUCAUUGGUAUAAUUUUUGUGAGAUGUAAAAGAGGGCCUAAUAAAACCUUGUGAAAUGUUAUUUGCUAGGAACCCUCAUGAUCAUGUUCCAAGGGAAAUGGUUUGUUGAGCCUUUGUUGCUUUAGAUAUUAAGAUUUUGCUCAAGGCAGCAAUACCAUUUCCACUGCCAAACAUAAAUCAGCACUAAACAUUCUAAAGAUAUGAAAGAAACGCUGUGUGAUCUAUGGAGACGCUACCAAAUCUGAAAACAGGUCCAACAGCGAUCCAUGUAUAAACAUCCAUUCCAGCACACACAACAGGGCAACGAAAAUUGACGGAAGAUAACUUAGGACGAUAGGCACUUAGAAUCACGAAGCAAAGAACCUAGUCAUACAAAACCCAGUUCUCAUACUACAGAAAGUUUCAAAAAUAUCUUGGUACGUUGGAGGUGUCUCUCCACCCUUGUAAAAAGAUUUAAAGACACAUAUCUUGGGGUAGCAUAACUACUGGUCGCUGAUGGUCACUUCGACCUCGACGCCAGGCUCGAUGGUGAUAGAGGUGAUCUGCUUGACAACGUCUGGGGAGCUGACAAGGUCGAUCACCCUCUUGUGCACCCGCAUCUCAAACCGAUCCCAG